Molecule: ribosomal RNA, 881 nt
Filed under: Lirapex sp. DC-2019
Lineage: Eukaryota; Metazoa; Mollusca; Gastropoda; Neomphalida; Peltospiridae
Description: partial large subunit ribosomal RNA
Rfam family: Eukaryotic large subunit ribosomal RNA
Source: RNAcentral
AAAAGAACUUUGAAGAGAGAGUUCAAGAGUACGUGAAACCGCCUAGAGGUAAACGGGUGGGCCCGCAUAGUCGGCCCGCGGAAUUCAACUCGUCGCACGUUUUUAGGCCGUCGGCACCCGGGGUCCGUCCCGCGAGAUGCUCGAAAACGCACUCUCCCCGGGGUCGGCCACAGCGUCGGCCUGCGACGCGUGCACUUUCCGCGGGCAGAGCGCCACGAUCGGUUCUCGGGCAGCCAGAAGGCGCGUUCGGAAGGUGGCCGUCGGGGUCCGCGUGCGCGCGGGGUUCAUUCUCCGCCGCCGCAAACCUCGGCGGCUCUUACAGCCGGCGCGUCGUUUACCGGCCUGCCGCGGGGACCGAGGAACGGCCGUCCCCCUUUGAAACCUGGCGUCUCCGGCUCUCCUCGCACGUCUCGACACCGCGGGACUGGGGCAACCGUGCCGCGGGACCGCGUGCGGUUUGGAGCGAUCUAACCGGAGAGUGCGCCAUCGCACGGGGGCUCGGGAUCGGUGGCGAAUCGGUCGGCAACCCACCCGGCCCGUCUUGAAACACGGACCAAGGAGUCUAACAUGUGCGCGAGUCACUGGGCUCGACGAAACCCAAGGGCACAAUGAAAGUGAAAGGUCGUAUUUUGUUCGCAAAAAACGUCCCCAGGUGGGAUCUCUCGUAUUCCGGCAGUGGGCGGGAGCGCACCACCGGCCCGUCUCGUCCGCACCCCGUCGGUGAGGCGGAGCAAGAGCGUACACGUUGGGACCCGAAAGAUGGUGAACUAUGCCCGAGCAGGAUGAAGCCAGAGGAAACUCUGGUGGAAGUCCGCAGCGAUUCUGACGUGCAAAUCGAUCGUCAGACUUGGGUAUAGGGGCGAAAGACUAAUCGAACCAUC